AACGAACGCUGGCGGCAUGCCUAACACAUGCAAGUCGAACGAGACCUUCGGGUCUAGUGGCGCACGGGUGCGUAACGCGUGGGAAUCUGCCCUUGGGUUCGGAAUAACAGCGAGAAAUUGCUGCUAAUACCGGAUGAUGACGUAAGUCCAAAGAUUUAUCGCCCAAGGAUGAGCCCGCGUAGGAUUAGCUAGUUGGUGAGGUAAAGGCUCACCAAGGCGACGAUCCUUAGCUGGUCUGAGAGGAUGAUCAGCCACACUGGGACUGAGACACGGCCCAGACUCCUACGGGAGGCAGCAGUGGGGAAUAUUGGACAAUGGGCGAAAGCCUGAUCCAGCAAUGCCGCGUGAGUGAUGAAGGCCUUAGGUGUAAAGCUCUUUUACCCGGGAUGAUAAUGACAGUACCGGGAGAAUAAGCUCCGGCUAACUCCGUGCCAGCAG
This 438-nucleotide ribosomal RNA is filed under the name uncultured bacterium. RNAcentral's name for it is "bacterial SSU rRNA". It matches the Rfam family "Bacterial small subunit ribosomal RNA", at positions 29 to 514 of the family's 1533-position model. The record is from RNAcentral.